AACCUCCGCAAUGUGAGAAAUCGCGACGGGGGGAUCCCAAGUGCCAUUCUUAACGGGAUGGCUUUUCAUUAGUGUAAAGAGCUUUUAGAAUAAGAGCUGGGCAAGACCGGUGCCAGCCACCGCGGUAACACCGGCAGCUCUAGUGGUAGCUGUUUUUAUUGGGCCUAAAGCGUUCGUAGCCGGUUUGAUAAGUCACUGGUGAAAUCCUGUAGCUUAACUGUGGGAAUUGCUGGUGAUACUGUUGAACUUGAGGUCGGGAGAGGUUAGCGGUACUCCCAGGGUAGAGGUGAAAUUCUGUAAUCCUGGGAGGACCACCUGUGGCGAAGGCGGCUAACUGGAACGAACCUGACGGUGAGGGACGAAAGCUAGGGGCGCGAACCGGAUUAGAUACCCGGGUAGUCCUAGCCGUAAACGAUGCGGACUUGGUGUUGGGAUGGCUUUGAGCCGCUCCGGUGCCGAAGGGAGCUGUUAAGUCCGCCGCCUGGGAAGUACGGUCGCAAGACUGAAACUUAAAGGAAUU
This 520-nucleotide ribosomal RNA is filed under the name uncultured bacterium. Its description in RNAcentral is "bacterial SSU rRNA". It matches the Rfam family "Archaeal small subunit ribosomal RNA", at positions 345 to 866 of the family's 1478-position model. The record is from RNAcentral.